RNAcentral lists this ribosomal RNA (30 nucleotides) under Armillaria gallica. RNAcentral's name for it is "partial small subunit ribosomal RNA". Lineage: Eukaryota; Fungi; Basidiomycota; Agaricomycetes; Agaricales; Physalacriaceae. The record is from RNAcentral.
UUUCCGUAGGUGAACCUGCGGAGGWCAUUA